UUUUUUGAGAGUUUGAUCCUGGCUCAGGAUGAACGCUGGCGGUGUGCCUUAGGCAUGCAAGUCGAGCGGUAACAGGUCUAGCUUGCUAGACGCUGACGAGCGGCAGACGGGUGAGUAACACGUAGGAAUCUACCGAAUAGUGGGGAAUAGCUCAGCGAAAGUUGGGGUAAUACCGCAUACGCCCUCCGGGGGAAAGCAUUUAUGCGCUAUUCGAGGAGCCUGCGGGCUAUCAGUUUGUUGGUGGGGUAAUGGCCUACCAAGACUAUGACGGCUAACCGAUGUGAGAGCAUGAUCGGUCACAAGGCUACUGAGACACGGAGCCUACACCUACGGGUGGCAGCAACCGGGAAUAUUGCGCAAUGGACGAAAGUCUGACGCAGCGACACCGCGUGUGGGAAGACGCUUUUCGGAGUGUAAA
RNAcentral lists this ribosomal RNA (418 nucleotides) under Candidatus Pacebacteria bacterium CG_4_10_14_0_2_um_filter_40_20. RNAcentral describes it as "bacterial SSU rRNA". It matches the Rfam family "Bacterial small subunit ribosomal RNA", at positions 1 to 429 of the family's 1533-position model. Lineage: Bacteria; Bacillati; Minisyncoccota. The record is from RNAcentral.